Molecule: unclassified non-coding RNA, 659 nt
Filed under: uncultured Bordetella sp.
Lineage: Bacteria; Pseudomonadati; Pseudomonadota; Betaproteobacteria; Burkholderiales; Alcaligenaceae
Description: partial 16S-23S ribosomal RNA intergenic spacer
Rfam family: Bacterial small subunit ribosomal RNA
Source: RNAcentral
AGUUUGAUUAUGGCUCAGAUUGAACGCUGGCGGGAUGCUUUACACAUGCAAGUCAGACGGCAGCACGGACUUCGGUCUGGUGGCGAGUGGCGAACGGGUGAGUAAUGUAUCGGAACGUGCCUAGUAGCGGGGGAUAACUACGCGAAAGCGUAGCUAAUACCGCAUACGCCCUUCGGGGGAAAGCGGGGACCUUCCGGGCCUCGCACUAUUAGAGCGGCCGAUAUCGGAUUAGCUAGUUGGUGGGGUAACGGCUCACCAAGGCGACGAUCCGUAGCUGGUUUGAGAGGACGACCAACCACACUGGGACUGAGACGGCCCAGACUCCUACGAGGCAGCAGUGGGGAAUUUUGGACAAUGGGGAAACCCUGAUCCAGCCAUCCCGCGUGUGCGAUGAAGGCCUUCGGGUUGUAAAGCACUUUUGGCAGGAAAGAAACGGCACGGGAUAAUACCCCGUGCAACUGACGGUACCUGCAGAAUAAGCACCGGCUAACUACGUGCCAGCAACCGCGGUAAUACGUAGGGUGCAAGCGUUAAUCGGAAUUACUGGGCGUAAAGCGUGCGCAGGCGGUUCGGAAAGAAAGAUGUGAAAUCCCAGAGCUUAACUUUGGAACUGCAUUUUUUAACUACCGAGCUAGAGUGUGUCAGAGGGAGGUGGAAUU